RNAcentral lists this ribosomal RNA (305 nucleotides) under uncultured bacterium. Its description in RNAcentral is "bacterial SSU rRNA". It matches the Rfam family "Bacterial small subunit ribosomal RNA", at positions 337 to 659 of the family's 1533-position model. The record is from RNAcentral.
GCCUACGGGGCGCAGCAGUGGGGAAUAUUGCCCAAUGGGGGAAACCCUGAUGCAGCGACGCCGCGUGAGUGAAGAAGUAUUUCGGUAUGUAAAGCUCUAUCAGCAGGGAAGAAAAUGACGGUACCUGACUAAGAAGCCCCGGCUAACUACGUGCCAGCAGCCGCGGUAAUACGUAGGGGGCAAGCGUUAUCCGGAUUUACUGGGUGUAAAGGGAGCGUAGACGGCAUUGCAAGUCUGGAGUGAAAGCCCGGGGCCCAACCCCGGAACUGCUCUGGAAACUGUGCGGCUAGAGUACUGGAGGGGCG